GUAGGUGGCAAGCGUUGUCCGGAAUUAUUGGGCGUAAAGCGCGCGCAGGCGGUUCUUUAAGUCUGAUGUGAAAGCCCACGGCUCAACCGUGGAGGGUCAUUGGAAACUGGAGAACUUGAGUACGGAAGAGGAAAGCGGAAUUCCACGUGUAGCGGUGAAAUGCGUAGAGAUGUGGAGGAACACCAGUGGCGAAGGCGGCUUUCUGGUCUGUAACUGACGCUGAGGCGCGAAAGCGUGGGGAGCAAACAGGGAUUAGAUACCCUGGUAGUCCACGCCGUAAACGAUGAGUGCUAAGUGUUAGGGGGUUUCCGCCCCCUUAGUGCUGCAGCUAACGCAUUAAGCACUCCGCCUGGGGAGUACGGCCGCAAGGCUG
RNAcentral lists this ribosomal RNA (373 nucleotides) under uncultured organism. RNAcentral's name for it is "partial 16S ribosomal RNA". It matches the Rfam family "Bacterial small subunit ribosomal RNA", at positions 527 to 896 of the family's 1533-position model. The record is from RNAcentral.